UGGGCAACCUGCCCCUCUCUCUGGGAUAACCCCGGGGAAACCGGGAGCUAAUACCGGAUACUCCGGCUGGAUCGCAUGGUCCGGCCGGGAAAGGUCCGCCGGAGAGGGAUGGGCCCGCGGCCUAUCAGCUUGUUGGUGGGGUAAUGGCCUACCAAGGCGACGACGGGUAGCUGGUCUGAGAGGACGACCAGCCACACUGGAACUGAGAUACGGUCCAGACUCCUACGGGAGGCA
Molecule: ribosomal RNA, 234 nt
Filed under: uncultured bacterium
Lineage: Bacteria
Description: partial 16S ribosomal RNA
Rfam family: Bacterial small subunit ribosomal RNA
Source: RNAcentral